AAUCAACGCUGGCGGCGUGCCUCAGACAUGCAAGUCGAACGCGAAAGUUUCCUUCGGGGAACAAGUAGAGUGGCGCACGGGUGAGUAACACGUAGGUAAUCUACCUUUGGAUGGGGAAUAACAACCGGAAACGGUUGCUAAUACCGCAUAAUGCAGCGGCACCUAAUGGUGACAGUUGUUAAAGCGGGGGAGUCGAAAGACCUCGCGUCUGAAGAGGAGCCUGCGGCGGAUUAGCUA
This 237-nucleotide ribosomal RNA is filed under the name uncultured bacterium. RNAcentral describes it as "partial 16S ribosomal RNA". It matches the Rfam family "Bacterial small subunit ribosomal RNA", at positions 32 to 247 of the family's 1533-position model. The record is from RNAcentral.